GAGUUUGAUCCUGGCUCAGAGUGAACGCUGGCGGCGUGCCUAAUACAUGCAAGUCGAACGAUGAAUCUUCUAGCUUGCUAGAAGUGGAUUAGUGGCGCACGGGUGAGUAAUGCAUAGGUUAUGUGCCCUUUAGUCUGGGAUAGCCACUGGAAACGGUGAUUAAUACUGGAUACUCCCUACGGGGGAAAGUUUUUCGCUAAAGGAUCAGCCUAUGUCCUAUCAGCUUGUUGGUGAGGUAAUGGCUCACCAAGGCUAUGACGGGUAUCCGGCCUGAGAGGGUGAUCGGACACACUGGAACUGAGACACGGUCCAGACUCCUACGGGAGGCAGCAGUAGGGAAUAUUGCUCAAUGGGGGAAACCCUGAAGCAGCAACGCCGCGUGGAGGAUGAAGGUUGUAGGAUUGUAAACU
Molecule: ribosomal RNA, 410 nt
Filed under: uncultured bacterium
Lineage: Bacteria
Description: bacterial SSU rRNA
Rfam family: Bacterial small subunit ribosomal RNA
Source: RNAcentral